CCUACGGGGGGCAGCAGUGGGGAAUAUUGCACAAUGGGGGGAACCCUGAUGCAGCAACGCCGCGUGGAUGAAGAAGUACUUCGGUAUGUAAAGCCCUGUUAGUAGGGAAGAAAAUGACGAUACCUGACCCAGAAGCCCCGGCUAACUACGUGCCAGCAGCCGCGGUAAUACGUAGGGGGCAAGCGUUAUACGGAUUUACUGGGUGUAAAGGGAGCGUAGACGGCUAGGCAAGUCUGGAGUGAAAGCCCGUGGCUCAACCACGGGACUGCUUUGGAAACUGUGUUGCUGGAGUGCAGGAGGGGUAGGCGGAAUUCCUGGUGUAGCGGUGAAAUGCGUAGAGAUUAGGAGGAACACCGAUGGCGAAGGCGGCUUACUGGACUGUAACUGACGUUGAGGCUCGAAGGCGUGGGGAGCAAACAGGAUUAGAUACCCCGGUAGUC
RNAcentral lists this ribosomal RNA (440 nucleotides) under uncultured bacterium. RNAcentral's name for it is "partial 16S ribosomal RNA". It matches the Rfam family "Bacterial small subunit ribosomal RNA", at positions 338 to 795 of the family's 1533-position model. The record is from RNAcentral.